This 383-nucleotide long non-coding RNA is filed under the name Rosa chinensis. Its description in RNAcentral is "sRNA RchiOBHm_Chr2g0171351". The record is from RNAcentral. Lineage: Eukaryota; Viridiplantae; Streptophyta; Magnoliopsida; Rosales; Rosaceae.
AUGCUGUUCAUUCAGUACCACUGCUAGCUUUAGUGUCUGAUUAUGCUGUACGUAGAUGUGAGGUUAUUAAUUUUUUUUGGAAUUUUGAGUACCUGUAGUAAUGCCUUAAGUUGUCCUUAAGAACAAUUUCUCGGCAAUUUGAUUUAGUUCUGCUGGAUUGGUCAUUAAAUUUGAGCUUCCAUCUUAAGGCCAGUAUCCAGCUAUUUAUGAUUAUACUGUCUAUGAUGCAAUUCUUUUUGAGUUUCUAUAGUUGCAAGUCUUAAGGGUCUACAACAAUGGUGCAGAGAGGGAGUGAUUAUUGAAGUAUCUUUUUCGACGCACUGAUUGAGGUUCUUAUCCCCUUGUGAUCUGGAGAACAAGAAACAUUACAAGAACUGCACCCU